GCUUGCAAGAGGGUGACAAACCCUGGAAUCGGGCUCCCUCCUCUCUGGUUCCAGGUGUGUCACCCAAGA
Molecule: non-coding RNA, 69 nt
Organism: Myotis lucifugus (little brown bat)
Lineage: Eukaryota; Metazoa; Chordata; Mammalia; Chiroptera; Vespertilionidae
Source: Rfam